AUUACAAAUUAGCAAACUCAAUGAAAGUUGAGGACGCAAAGUUGUGAGUCUAGGAUAUUGUACAUUUCUUGUUUAAACCGCUGAAUAUCCAAUAUUAUGACUGUCUAACUGCAUUG
This 116-nucleotide non-coding RNA is filed under the name Clostridiales bacterium. RNAcentral's name for it is "c-di-GMP sequence". It matches the Rfam family "c-di-GMP-I riboswitch aptamer". Rfam says of the family: GEMM was predicted in a large-scale screen for bacterial structured RNA regulatory elements. Genes associated with GEMM are involved in a diverse array of functions, including chemotaxis regulation, signal transduction, secretion and chitin. The record is from RNAcentral. Lineage: Bacteria; Bacillati; Bacillota; Clostridia; Eubacteriales.